CUCAAGUUCACCACCCGACACCGUCCGCGGCCACGAGUAUAAAGGAGUGGUCUGACAGGACACCAGCACAGACCAGCUUAGCUUGCCUCUGAGACACCACUUUUCCCAACUCUCCAAAAUGAAGUUUAUUCAUCUGGCUUUGGUCGUCCUGGUGGCAUUGUCUGCAGUAUUCGCUGCCCCAGAGCCACACAAGAAAAAAGGUGGUGGCUUCGUGUCGCGACCAGUGCAACCGUGUGGUGCGUCCUGUGGUGCACCACCCGCGUGGUGAGACCUGUCGUGCACCAUGUGCCUGUGGUGAAGCACGUUCCCGUUGUACAGCACGUCCCUGUAGUGAAGCACGCUCCCAUUGUGCAUCACGCUCCCAUUGUGCAUCACGGUCCCGCGCUGAAAGGCGGCCACAAGGUGAAGCACGGCUAGGUGACAACAACUGUAAUGGGACGGAAGAUUGCCAUUACCUUCGGAUAUUCUUCGUUUCCACCGCCAUGUUCUGACGCACUGGCCGAGUCAUGCCAUUCAUUUUUCACGAAUUUAUCUCACCUGACCAUUUUUGGUACUGAUUCCUUCUUAUGCGUAUUUUGUGAUUUCUAAUAAAACUGUUUGAAAAA
Scylla paramamosain (green mud crab) is the source of this 605-nucleotide long non-coding RNA. RefSeq lists it as uncharacterized. Lineage: Eukaryota; Metazoa; Arthropoda; Malacostraca; Decapoda; Portunidae. The transcript is spliced from 2 exons. The record is from RefSeq and is a predicted model, not a curated record.